This 497-nucleotide ribosomal RNA is filed under the name uncultured bacterium. RNAcentral's name for it is "partial 16S ribosomal RNA". It matches the Rfam family "Bacterial small subunit ribosomal RNA", at positions 28 to 507 of the family's 1533-position model. The record is from RNAcentral.
GACGAACGCUGGCGGCGUGCCUAAUACAUGCAAGUUGAGCGAUGAAGCUUGGUGCUUGCUCCAAUUUGAAGAGCAGCGAACGGGUGAGUAACGCGUGGGGAAUCUGCCUUUGAGCGGGGGACAACAUUUGGAAACGAAUGCUAAUACCGCAUAACAACUUUAAACAUAAGUUUUAAGUUUGAAAGAUGCAAUUGCAUCACUCAAAGAUGAUCCCGCGUUGUAUUAGCUAGUUGGUGAGGUAAAGGCUCACCAAGGCGAUGAUACAUAGCCGACCUGAGAGGGUGGACGGCCACAUUGGGACUGAGACACGGCCCAAACUCCUACGGGAGGCAGCAGGAGGGAAUCUUCGGCAAUGGACGGAAGGCUGACCGAGCAACGCCGCGUGAGUGAAGAAGGUUUUCGGAUCGUAAAAAUCCGUUGGUAGGGAAGAACGUUGGUGAGAGUGGAAAGCUCAUCAAGUGACGGUAACUACCCAGAAAGGGACGGCUAACUACGUG